CCUANGGGUGGCUGCAGUGGGGAAUCUUGCGCAAUGGACGAAUGUCUGACGCAGCGACGCCGCGUGUGGGAUGAAGGCCUUCGGGUUGUAAACCACUGUCGGAGGGGACGAAGGCCCGGCCGGUAACUCGGACCGGGAUUGACGGUACCCUCAAAGGAAGCACCGGCUAACUCCGUGCCAGCAGCCGCGGUAAUACGGAGGGUGCGAGCGUUGUCCGGAAUCACUGGGCGUAAAGGGCGCGUAGGCGGCUGGGUAAGUCAUGCGUGAAAUCCCCGGGCUUAACCUGGGAAUUGCGCUUGAAACUAGCGGGCUUGAGUGUGGCAGAGGGGGGUGGAAUUCCACGUGUAGCAGUGAAAUGCGUAGAGAUGUGGAGGAACACCGAUGGCGAAGGCAGCCCCCUGGGUCAACACUGACGCUCAUGCACGAAAGCGUGGGGAGCAAACAGGAUUAGAUACCCCANUANUC
This 465-nucleotide ribosomal RNA is filed under the name uncultured bacterium. RNAcentral's name for it is "bacterial SSU rRNA". It matches the Rfam family "Bacterial small subunit ribosomal RNA", at positions 338 to 795 of the family's 1533-position model. The record is from RNAcentral.